GGUGGCCUAGUGGUUAGAGUAUUCACCUCGGAUGCGAGAGGUCGUGGGUUCGAUUCCCGGCCGACUUAUACCA
Non-coding RNA from Potamilus streckersoni, 73 nucleotides. Lineage: Eukaryota; Metazoa; Mollusca; Bivalvia; Unionida; Unionidae. The record is from the annotation of a GenBank genome assembly.